RNAcentral lists this ribosomal RNA (211 nucleotides) under uncultured bacterium. RNAcentral describes it as "partial 16S ribosomal RNA". It matches the Rfam family "Bacterial small subunit ribosomal RNA", at positions 139 to 334 of the family's 1533-position model. The record is from RNAcentral.
CGGGACAACAUUCCGAAAGGAGUGCUAAUACCGGAUGUGAUCAUCGUGCCGCAUGGCAGGAUGAAGAAAGAUGGCCUCUACAAGUAAGCUAUCGCUAAAGGAUGGGCCUGCGUCUGAUUAGCUAGUUGGUAGUGUAACGGACUACCAAGGCGAUGAUCAGUAGCCGGUCUGAGAGGAUGAACGGCCACAUUGGGACUGAGACACGGCCCAA